This 2457-nucleotide long non-coding RNA is filed under the name Triticum aestivum (bread wheat). RNAcentral's name for it is "long non-coding RNA (TAES_LNC015784)". The stretch from base 2087 to 2221 matches the Rfam family "MIR1120/MIR1122 microRNA precursor family". The record is from RNAcentral. Lineage: Eukaryota; Viridiplantae; Streptophyta; Magnoliopsida; Poales; Poaceae.
UUCAAGGGAGCUGAUGGCACGAACUACAUUGUGUUGAGAGUGUCUGAUGUGAUGGCCGAGCUCUCUUAAGUGUGCGGUUUAUUACUUUGUUUCAGUUUUGAGUUCACGAUAGAGGCUAGCAUGAGUGGUAAGAUUGCUAUGUGAUAACCACUUGAUGCUGUUUCGGAUAAUUAUAGAAUUGUAUGAGCAAACCUGUUGUCCGGGUUAAAAACAUUUACCGAAUUUCUUUACAAAGAGAGCUUGAUGCUGGUUUCCCCCUACUUCUGCAUUAUGUAUGUACAUUACUGCUUGGCUGAUUGCCUAUUGUUGUGGCACUAUCUAUGUGAAAGGGUCCUAGACAUCUAUCUUCCUGUGAGUGGGCUAAACAUUAAGCAAACCUGGAGGAUGUGGCUUAUCAGAAUGAUUGCUCAUUCUUCAGUGUUGAAUCUAGGCUGCUGGUUGCUCAGGAUGGUAGGAGAAUUUGCUGUAUAGGACAAAGGGGUCAGUAGCAGGUGUUGUUUAGUGGAGAGAUGAGGCAAUCUGUGACCUUUCGUCUGCUGCGGAGUAAGAGCGCAGCAGAGGAUGAUGCGUCUGAGGGGAGUAAAGAUGUGCAGUCCCCGUGACCUUGCCGCCAAAGAGUGCAUGUUGUAAUUCCAGCUAUUCAUAGAUAGUUCCUGGUGCCUUGUAUGCCUAUGCUAUCAAAUUCAAAUCCCCAGUGAACAGAGAAGCAACAAAUAAGACACUAGAUGUGAUUCAAAUCCCUAUGGAGAACAGAGAAGCCUUACUCCUUAUAAAAGAAUUGUGUGGCAGACUUGUUCCUUAUAAAGAGUUGCACGGUAGACAGUGGCCUGAACUCACCGGUCCUCUGGUAGGUCAAUGGCUAACAACCCUUUGGUUAUGAACUGGGUCCUCUGGUUGGUCGGUUGCUGUGAGCUUUAUAAAUCUUUUAUAAACAAAAUAAUGAAUGUCCUUACCCUUUUCCUUUUCCAAAAGGAUUAAUUUUGUUAAUCUGCUAACCUCUACUUAAGAUGGCGCACCUAUUUAUUUAUUACAAAUUUCACAAAAAAUAUAUCCAACAUUCUAUCGUCAAAGAAAAAACACCAGAUCAAGUAGAACCAACAUCUCAUAGAAACAAUCAUGUGGCGAUCACAAUGAUGCUAAUCUAGGAGUCACAUGAAGUACCCACUUAAAUUUAGUGGACCGGCUAGUUUGCACCAGAGGUGAAUGUUAUGCUAAUACUUCAAAAUACCCCUUUUUUAUGUAGACCUGAUCUCAAGUUGUAUAUUCAAAGUAUGUUGUGACUGAAGUUGAAUACAACAACUCCAAGCAUCUCAUUAUGAAAGAGGAUGACAUCAUUGGUAUUCUUGAAUCUGAUGAUGUCAAAGACAUGAAGCCUCUCAAUGACUGAGUUCUAAUCAAGGUAUUUAUAUCGAAUGUCAUGUCACUAAUCAGUAGCGUAUAUUUAAAUAAUUUCCAGUCAAUCUUGUAUUGGUUGUAUCUGCAUAAUGGUUAACAGUCCUAUCUGUCUUACAUUUGUGCUAGGUUGCCGAGGUUUCAGAUAAGGCCGAAGCUGGCCUUAUCCUCACCGAGACAACCAAGGAAAAGCCAUCCAUUCGAACAGUAAGUUAUUGCCAUUGGUUAAGAGUCUGCACUUUUUUUUCGACAAAGAAGAGUCUGCACUUAACUGGUACUCCCUCCGUUCGGAAUUACUUGUCACAGAAAUGGAUGUAUCUAGAUGUAUUUUAGUUCUAGAUACAUCCAUUUCCGAGACAAGUAAUUCCGAACGGAGGGAGUAGGUGUUAAACUAAUUCACCUCUUAAUGCAGGUUGUAGCUGUUGGUCCGGGCUCUCUCGACGAGGAAGGCAAGAGGUAGCCAUUGUCGUUGUCACCAGGUAGCACCGUGUUGUACUCCAAGUAUGCAGGCGGUGAGUUCAAGGGAGCUGAUGGCACGAACUACAUUGUGUUGAAAGUGUCUUAUGUGAUGGCUGAGCUCUCUUAAGUAUGCGGUUUAUUACUUUGUUUUAGUUUUGAGUUCACGAUAGAGGCAAGCAUGAGUGGUAAGAUUGCUAUGUGAUAACCACUUGAUGCUGUUUCGGAUGAUUAUAGAAUUGUACUCCCUCCGUCCGAAAAUACUUGUCAUCAAAAUGAAUAGAAGGGGAUGUAUCUAGAUGUAUAUUAGUUCUAGAUACAUCCCUUUUUAUCCAUUUUGAUGACAAGUAUUUUCGGACGGAGGGAGUAUGAGCAAACCUGUUGUCUGGGUUAAAAACAUUUACUGAAUUUGUUUACAAAGGGAGCUUUAUGCCUGUUUUCUCGUGCUUGGCUGAUUGCCUAUUGUUGUGGCACUAUCUAUGUGAAAGGGCCUAGACAUCUAUCUACCUGUGAGUGGGCUAAACAAUAAGCAAAGCUGGAGGAUUUGCCUUAUCAGAAUGAUUGCUCAUUCUUCAAUGUUGCUUCUUCGAACCAUCUAGCGACUAUGCA